This is a long non-coding RNA of Lingula anatina, 255 nucleotides long. Lineage: Eukaryota; Metazoa; Brachiopoda; Lingulata; Lingulida; Lingulidae. The record is from RefSeq and is a predicted model, not a curated record.
AGAAAUGUAAAAUUUUGCUGACAGAGAUAGUUACGACCACUCGCCUGCAUGCCAAGAUAUUCAUCAUAUAGAGGCACAAGAUACUAGUAACAAGAGGGUCCCAGCUGAAGGGAAUGAAGGUCCAAUAUCAUUUGCUGUUCAGUCUAAGCCUAAACUUCAAUGUAAAGGUUUUGUCCACUGACUGCUGACCGUUGAAGACCGUUGAAGAAAUUUAAGUGACAUACCUCUGGUGGGAAUAGCCCCACCCCCUUCGAC